RNA transcript from Chroicocephalus ridibundus (black-headed gull), 4829 nucleotides. RefSeq lists it as uncharacterized. NCBI's taxonomy places the organism in Eukaryota, Metazoa, Chordata, Aves, Charadriiformes, Laridae. The transcript has 2 exons. The record is from RefSeq and is a predicted model, not a curated record.
GGGGCUCUCUGUAGGAUGGCUGUAGUCAUGGCCUUGAGGAAGGUCAGGGGCGUCUCUCAAGAAAACUUUGUGCGAGUCCAGGGAUGCUCGUGGUUUUGGAGGAGUAAGAGCUCCUCUGCAAAAGCCAGAGCCCCAGCAGGCCCGAAGGGAGGUGGUGGGCAGGCCAGGUGCCGUCACAGGUGACACAGAAGGGCACAAGGAGCUUUCAGAAGCAGAACGGUUUCGCCAGGCGUGGAUGCGGAGCGUCGGGCUGACUGGGGAUGUGACCGUUCCCCAGUGGGAGGUUGAGGCGCAUCUGGGCAGCGACAGAAGCUCACCCUAAACCUGCUUGGCUGUGAAAAGCAUCGCAUUUGCCAUUUUAUUGGUAAUACGGAGUCAAAGCUGUGUUUGGCAGGAUUUUAAGCCCUGAGAUGCAGAAACAGUGAUCCCCUGUGUGACCCCGGUGCACUCCCGGAGUACGGGAGCGUUUGCCAUCGCAGCUCCUGCAGAGUUAUCGACUCGGCCUCACCGAGGGCUCGGAAAACUGCUCUAGUUUCAAAGGAAAAAUUCCUCUGUCUCUAUAAAAGGAAACUGCACGAGGAUGUCUGGAAUCAAAGGAGCCUUUGAAACAAAACUUCUGAGGGGGUGUUUAUGUUUCAUAACGGAUUAAGUUAUCAGCCGCAUGCAGAGUGUGGGGCAGGUGACAAAUGGCCGUGGGAGAGUGGAGGAGGUGCUUCCUCUCGCCGGGGCAGAGCUGGCAGCGCUGAGGAACCUGCUUCUGCCAAAGGAGAGGCAGGAGGAAAGCGGGAACUGAGGAAACGGCUGAGGUGGCCGGAUACACCCGAUAGCUCGGUGGAGCCGCUCAGGCCUGCGGAGGAGACAAUCUGAAAAGCUUCCUGUUCAUAGAGGAUAUAUUGUCUGGUGGUGGCAAGAACUGGAGAGAUCCUCCCUGUGCUGGAGCCCGAGACAGACCCGGCCUUUGGGAUAAGCUGGUUCUCUGGAGGAGCGGCAGCAGCUCCGCAGCCUCUGGAAGGCCGUCCCUUCUAAAGGCGGAGGCCGGAGGUACCAAAACACUCCGCACAAGCGGCUGCUCACAGCGUUGCUGGAGGUGCAUUGGACGUCCCUCUGGCUUUCGGAGAGGUGAGGUUUACUCACAGAUACUCGCUUCUGCGCCGUUAUUAGCCCGCAGUGAGGUUCUCGCCCCCGAACGCAUCGCUCUCCUCUGGACCCUGAGUUUUGCGAUGGGGUCCUGCUUGCCUCUGGUGGCCCCCGGUCCUGUGCUGGAGAGACGGUGCAGAGGCAGGCGAUCUUCCUGCGCCCUCCUCAGCCGCUUGUGACUUAGCAGAGCUCCAUCGCCUUCCUGACGACUCCUUCCCCGAAGCGGAAGCCUCCAGCCAGUUGUUCCUCGCGUGGAGGCUGUUCCAGCCGCUCCCCUUUGGGAGAAGGGGCCCAGGAGUGCUUGCCCUGCUGAAGGAUUGGGCGAGCACGGAGCGAAACGGCGGUGCAGGGACGUUCCCUCCUGUUCUCCCUCUGCCUCGGCUGACUCCUGACAUCCGCGUUGGUUUUUUGACCUCCUCCCGUGCCCCUGACCCGUCUCCUGGAUGUGCCCCGGCGGCUGCUCACCCGUUCCGAUGGGGCAGGGAGCAGUCGUACGUUUCCUCAGCGUUUCCGACAACGCGAGAAACCGGAGAAGUGGUGUGCCGUGUGGCUUCCUGGCAAUGCGGGUGCCACCCUCUUCCCUCCUGGGAGAUCUCCCUGCCAAGAAAGCGCUGGUGGAUGUCUCUGGAGACCGGUUUCGCGUCAGCCGGCUGCCCCCGGGGCCUCUCCCCGGUGAGCCAGGGGCGAGUGCCAUCCCCGCAGAGCAGAGGAAUUCAGCAGGGCUGGCAUUUCAAAACAAACCUCUGCAGGGCUGGCCUUGAGCCGUUGUCCGGCAUUCCCUUGGCCGUGGCGGCCAGGGGCCAGGGCCGCCGUCGGAGCAGGCUGGAGGGGAAGGAAUGUGUUUUGAAGAUUUCAGUUACGAAGGGGCUGGGUUGUGCUGCAACUCGUGAAAAGCAAAUACGAAGGGACUGGACGUGUCUGGAAAGCUUCAAACAUGUUUCCACAGCUCUGCUGUGUUUCUUGUGAGACCUUUUGUCGCGGUUUUUCGCAGCGGAAGACCUCGUCCUUGUUUAGGAGAAAAAACUUGUUUGCUGUCACCCCCCUUCGAAAUUAAAGCAGCCUCCUGGGAACCGCCGAGCAGAAAUGGGGUUAUUUGCCCUGUCUCGCCCAACGUCUCUUGGUCCCAAACCAUCCCUUUAUCCCGAUCCUCUUUCGACCCGAGGGGCUGCGCUUCGCUCCUGCUCGCUGUGAAACAGGGUUGAUUUUCCUUUGCCUUCGCCGCCUCGCCGUGUGCACCAGGCGCUUUUAAAGCGCGGAGGCGUGAGGCUGAGCGUUACCGUCUCCUUCAACGCCGCCCGUUGGAGCCCAUCCCUCGGCGGUUGCUGCGGGUCUCAGCUCUCCCCCUUCGCAGGAGGGUUUGAAUCGCUCCAGCUGGUGCUUUCACACCAGAUGCAGGGUUUGUGUUUUUUUUUUUCCUGCCUGUUCCGUAACUGCUGUCAAAAACCUUGUAAUCAAAAGAAUAACAAAACACACAAUGGCCCUGUAAACUCCCUCAUCUCUUCCGCCAGCUGUUUCUUUCUUUGAAGAGAAAAAUCUUCCAUUACUCAGGCCUUUUAUGAGUUUAUGCUUCUUUUUGGGGCCCGGAUUCUGUGUUUCGCUGAAGGGAUGUUUCCUUUUAAGGCGCAGAGGGCUGCUUCGGGGAAGGGCAGCUACUAAAUCACCCGAGCGCUGCUGGAGAAAACAGGAUAAGUGGUUUUAAAAGCCCAGCGUUCCCCUUCCCGCAAGUCCAGCUUUCCCCGUGUCGGCUGCCCCAGGCUGUAGCGUCUCGGGUGCACCCGCGGCUCCUCUGUUGCACGGCACAGACCCUCGUCCCCGCGGCGGGAUCGACCCCGCUCAACCCUUGGGCGCGGACGCUGCUAAACCUGCCCCUUUCUCCCUGCAGAUCCCAGGGGACGCCGCCUUCGCCUUGGGCAGAGCCUGCCCUUAGCUUUGCCCACGCCGUUUGGGUAAAGGAACGCUUACGGCUGGGGAGGCUCCGUCAGGAAUUCCAGAGGGAAGUUUCUUUGUGUGGACUGUGGCCAGCAGGUGGAGGGAGGUCAUCCUCCGCCUCUGCUCUGCCCUGGGGAGGCCGCGUCUGGGGGGGGGUCCAGUUCUGGGCUCCCCGGUUCAAGAGGGACAGGGAACUGCUGGAGAGGGGACAGCAAAGGGCCACCGAGAUGCUGAGGGGCUGGAACACCUCUGAUGGAGAAAGGCUGAGGGAUUUGGGGCUCUUCAGGCUGGAAAAAAGACGGCUGAGGGGGACCUUAUCAACGCUGAUAAAUACUGAAAGGGGGGGUGUCAGGAGGAUGGGGCCAGGCUCUUCUCAGUGGUGCCCGGGGCCAGGACAAGGGGUAACGGGCACAAACUUGCCCAUGGGAAGUUCCACCUCAACACGAGGAGGAACUUCUCUACCCUGAGGGUGGCAGAGCCCUGGCACAGGCUGCCCAGAGAGGUGGGGGAGUCUCCGUCUCUGGAGACAUCCCAACCCCGCCUGGACGCGUCCCUGUGCCACCUGCUGUGGGUGACCCUGCUGUGGCCGGGGGUGGGACGGGAUGGGCUCCAGAGGGCCCUUCUGACCCCGGCCAGUCUGGGAUUCUGUGACGUGAGAUGGAGAUUGAACCUUCCUAACCCUCUGCCCCUGUGGCACCGAGGGUUGUGGUCACUGUGUCUUUUUAGGGUCUUCUCUGAGUGUGACUGAGCAACUACCUACCUGAAAGGAGGGGGCAGCCGGGGGGGUGGUCUCUUCUCCCAAGGAACAGGCCAUGGGACAAGGGGAAACGGCCUCGAGUUGUGCCAGGGGAGGUUUAGGAUGGAAACUGGGAAACAUUUCUUCCUGGAAAGGGCUGUCAAGCGUUGGAAGAGGCUGCCCAGGGCGGUGGGGGAGUUGCCAUCCCUGGGGGCAUUUAAAAGCCGGGCCGACGCGGUGCCGAGGGACGUGGGGUAGUGGUGGGUUUUGUCAGCGUUGGGGUGAUGGUUGGACUCGAUGAUCUGAAAGGUCCCCUCCAGCCCGGGCGAUUCUGUGCUUCUGUGAUUUUGUGAUUCUAUGAGUAGUCAAGAGCUACUUCCUUCAAACUGUCCAAGUCUGGGGUGUUUUUUCUUCCGGACUUUGCAUCCUCCGGAGUCAGCCCUUCUUCCUGACGAGGUGUCCAUGUGCAUCAGCUCUCGGCCGACGCACCGGGAUCUCGCUGCUUUGCCGGCCCCGCGGGCGCCGUGACGAGCUGCGGCGUCUCCACCGCGCUCCCGAGCAGGAGGAGGUGACGCAUCCGUGGAUGCGGUGCUCGGCGGCGUCCCUCCGAGGUGGGCCCUUUAUUCCCGUAUUGGUGUUCAUGGAAUGACAGCUCGUCUGCUGGGGAAAGCUAAUUACACAAAGGUUAAUUGAGAUCCCGUCAGUGUGGGUGGCAGGGAAAUGUGGUCUUUGGCUAAAAAUAGCCCACAAAGAGUUUUGAAACAACUGAGCAGUUUUUCAUUCAGUUGAUCUAUUUUUGUUGCUGGCUGCGACACCGUCCUCCUCUCUUUCUGCUCUCGUACCCGGCGUGAAGCGGCGCAGAGCUCAGGUCCCCGUGUGAGACGUGCCUUUCCCCAUCCCGAGAAGAGGGACUGGGCACCGCAGGCUCUGCCACCCCCUGUGUCUUCCUUACAGCCGCAGCCAGUCCCACCGAGCGUUGUCCCCUGUCACGGCGACGGAGGUGCUGCCUCCCGGCUGUGGGAGCACG